This 202-nucleotide long non-coding RNA is filed under the name Bos taurus (domestic cattle). RNAcentral describes it as "long non-coding RNA NONBTAT024097". The record is from RNAcentral. Lineage: Eukaryota; Metazoa; Chordata; Mammalia; Artiodactyla; Bovidae.
AUUAAGACUUAAUUUUCUUUGAUUGGGUGAGUCAAACAACGGGGUAAUGACAUAUCACAUAAAUUAAAUAUCUCGCUCUUGGAAACACAUGGAAACCUCAAGUGCACAUAGUAGGCCUUAUGUACCUGAGCUUGUUUUUACAAGGAAAAUUCACUGUCAAAACAACAGAGAAGAAUGAAUGAGAAAUGAAGAAAAUAAGGAA